RNAcentral lists this ribosomal RNA (560 nucleotides) under uncultured bacterium. Its description in RNAcentral is "bacterial SSU rRNA". It matches the Rfam family "Bacterial small subunit ribosomal RNA", at positions 119 to 674 of the family's 1533-position model. The record is from RNAcentral.
AGGAAUCUGCCUAUUAGUGGGGGACAACAUUUCGAAAGGAAUGCUAAUACCGCAUACGUCCUACGGGAGAAAGCGGGGGAUCUUCGGACCUUGCGCUAAUAGAUGAGCCUAAGUCGGAUUAGCUAGUUGGUGGGGUAAAGGCCUACCAAGGCGACGAUCUGUAGCGGGUCUGAGAGGAUGAUCCGCCACACUGGGACUGAGACACGGCCCAGACUCCUACGGGAGGCAGCAGUGGGGAAUAUUGGACAAUGGGCGGAAGCCUGAUCCAGCCAUGCCGCGUGUGUGAAGAAGGCCUUAUGGUUGUAAAGCACUUUAAGCGGGGAGGAGGCUACUUUAGUUAAUACCUAGAGAUAGUGGACGUUACUCGCAGAAUAAGCACCGGCUAACUCUGUGCCAGCAGCCGCGGUAAUACAGAGGGUGCAAGCGUUAAUCGGAUUUACUGGGCGUAAAGCGCGCGUAGGCGGCUAAUUAAGUCAAAUGUGAAACCCCCGAGCUUAACUUGGGAAUUGCAUUCGAUACUGGUUAGCUAGAGUGUGGGAGAGGAUGGUAGAAUUCCAGGU